AAUAUAUGGGGCAGUGGA
RNAcentral lists this unclassified non-coding RNA (18 nucleotides) under Mus musculus (house mouse). RNAcentral describes it as "oocyte_clustered_small_RNA6811". Lineage: Eukaryota; Metazoa; Chordata; Mammalia; Rodentia; Muridae. The record is from RNAcentral.